CAGGCUAGCGCUGAGGCUAGACUGUUUAGCACGGCAGCCAAUACCGUCACCGGAGGUCGUCAUGGUUACUUUAUGAUUCCACUGUGUCUCUGUUAGUGCCAUCAUAAUUAUGAUGUCAGCGUGACGCUUUAGUUAGUGACAUCUUCAUCAUGAUGUGACGGUUAAAGACAUCAUCAGUGACAUCAUUAUGGACCGGAGGUCGUCAUGGUUACUUUAUGAUUCCACUGUGUCUCUGUUACUCUGUCAUUAUGGACCGGAAUUGUUUAUCAACGAUGCCUUGCAGAGAUGGAUCCCCCGACCUCCCACUCUCCGCCAGGAGAAGGAGAGUGGCUCGCCGCACUCGCAGACGAAGAAGAAGGAUCAUCCGACGAAGAAGAAGAAGAAGGAUCAUCCGACGAAGAAGAAGAAGGAUCAUCCGACAAAUAAGAAGGAUCACGCGACGAAGAAGAAUGCUCAUGCGACGCCUCGCAGAACUGGAUCCCCCAACCUCCCACUCCCAUUUCCCUGGCUCCCAUCUAGGAGGAGGGGAUUGCCCCCCCGCAUUCGCAGGCUCCUUAUCAUGGUCGUCCGACGAAGAAGAAGGAUCAUCCGACGAAUAAGGAUCAUGCGACGCCGCGCAGAAUUCCAACAGACAAGCCGACGUUAGACUUAAAUGGCGACAGUUUUCUCUUGGCCGCACACGCUGAAGCUAAGCAUGCUAGCAGGAGGGCCAGCGUGCAGCCAGAGCGCGACGCCUUCUGCCAAGGGCCAAUUUGCGAAAAGGAAGGGUCCUGCAGGAAAGAGCCCGCGCUUAUUCUGGCUCAGGCCGCUGCUCCGGUUCAACAGACUUGACCUUUUCCAGACGAGUCGACCAACAAACUGCGUGGACACCCAGGGAGAAGAAGAAAGAGGGGGGAAGCGCCAUCAGAGGAGCUGCGUUCUGUCUGCCGUUAGAAUAAUAACAAUAGUAAUAAGAAUCAUCUUUGUUUAUGGAGCUCUUCUCAUAAUCUAAGUCACAGACGAGGUAUGAAUAAUGUUUGAAAAGGGCAGAGGCUUCCAAGUUGGGGUUUUAACUGCAGGCGGUGUUCUUUUCCCAGUCAGAAUUAUUAUUUUUUUUAACCCAAUGAUACGCGAUGCUACGUCAGUUCAGCACAAAGUGUCUGGCAUUUAAAUUCCACGGAUCGGCCCGAGGGCCUGUUUCCAGUGCAGCUGCUGGAUUCACAGAUUAAAGUUAACUGGUGGCCGAUGAUACUCGUGAGCCCGUAAACGCAGCGACCCGGUGACGUCACCGCUGUGUCUGUGAUUGUUUUAAUGGGAAGUCUGCCUAAAAGAUUUCAAUAAAACCCGCUCAACCAGGGAAACAAUGUUUUCUUAAUCAAUUUUCUUUCCAAAUAUUCAAAUGUUUCCUUAUUCCCUGUUUACCCAGACAUGACCAAUGAACACAUAGUGGACAUAUUUCUCAGACAGUUAUUCAACUUUAUUAAGGAGAAACAACUGCUUAUGAAUUAAAACUGUUCCUUUCCAUUUAAAUUAAGAGUUUAUUUUAACAGGUUUAGCUUUAAGCUCAAAGUAAAAAGUCAAGAAAUCCACUGCAACGGCCACAUGUGCACGUCCGGCGUGCAGCUUGAUCUGAAGCGCGGAGAAAGGGCGCGUGCUGCAGCCGCGGUGUGAUGUCACGGCGAGGGCCCUCCUGACCAUCCGGCCAGUUAUUCACGGCGCGUCCCGUCCGAUGACAUCUUUAUGUGGUGAAGAGAAUCUGUUACGCGCACACGCCGUCUACACGCACGUGGGUCUCCUCGUGCUGCUGGCAGCUGCGUCACGUGUGUGCGUGACCUU
Gasterosteus aculeatus aculeatus (three-spined stickleback) is the source of this 1815-nucleotide long non-coding RNA. Lineage: Eukaryota; Metazoa; Chordata; Actinopteri; Perciformes; Gasterosteidae. The record is from Ensembl.